Molecule: long non-coding RNA, 268 nt
Organism: Mastomys coucha (southern multimammate mouse)
Lineage: Eukaryota; Metazoa; Chordata; Mammalia; Rodentia; Muridae
Exons: 3
Source: RefSeq, a predicted model, not a curated record
UGAAGGAGGGAGUCAGGACACAGUCUUUCUCUCUCUCAGGAGUGCAGCUAUGGAGAGCAGGCAGCUAGCCGGCUGCUGCGCAGGUCUCUGGGAGCUCGCCUAGGUUCAAGAUGGAAAGGGUUCUGGAGUCAAGUUGUGGACCAGUUUUAUCUUUGUGUGAGACCAUGGACUGGCCCCCGAAUGCCUCUAGUCAGAGUAACUGAAAGCAUGCAUCGUGGGUUGCUCAUGCAUAUGCUGCUGGAGAAAGGAAGUUCAAAGUCACCCUUGG